RNAcentral lists this ribosomal RNA (497 nucleotides) under uncultured bacterium. RNAcentral's name for it is "partial 16S ribosomal RNA". It matches the Rfam family "Bacterial small subunit ribosomal RNA", at positions 28 to 507 of the family's 1533-position model. The record is from RNAcentral.
GAUGAACGCUGGCGGCGUGCCUAAUACAUGCAAGUCGAGCGAACAGAUAAGGAGCUCGCUCCUUUGACGUUAGCGGCGGACGGGUGAGUAACACGUGGGUAACCUACCUAUAAGACUGGGAUAACUUCGGGAAACCGGAGCUAAUACCGGAUAACAUUUGGAACCGCAUGGUUCUAAAGUGAAAGAUGGUUUUGCUAUCACUUAUAGAUGGACCCGCGCCGUAUUAGCUAGUUGGUAAGGUAACGGCUUACCAAGGCAACGAUACGUAGCCGACCUGAGAGGGUGAUCGGCCACACUGGAACUGAGACACGGUCCAGACUCCUACGGGAGGCAGCAGUAGGGAAUCUUCCGCAAAGGGCGAAAGCCUGACGGAGCAACGCCGCGUGAGUGAUGAAGGGUUUCGGCUCGUAAAACUCUGUUAUUAGGGAAGAACAAACGUGUAAGUAACUGUGCACGUCUUGACGGUACCUAAUCAGAAAGCCACGGCUAACUACGUG